This 459-nucleotide ribosomal RNA is filed under the name uncultured bacterium. RNAcentral's name for it is "partial 16S ribosomal RNA". It matches the Rfam family "Bacterial small subunit ribosomal RNA", at positions 338 to 795 of the family's 1533-position model. The record is from RNAcentral.
CCUACGGGUGGCAGCAGUGAGGAAUAUUGGUCAAUGGGCGCAAGCCUGAACCAGCCAAGUCGCGUGAAGGAUGACUGCCCUACGGGUUGUAAACCUCUUUUGUAAAGGAGUAAAGGUAGCCACGUGUGCCUCUUUGCGAGUACUUUAUGAAUAAGGAUCGGCUAACUCCGUGCCAGCAGCCGCGGUAAUACGGAGGAUGCGAGCGUUAUCCGGAUUUAUUGGGUUUAAAGGGUGCGUAGGCGGACUGUUAAGUCAGCGGUAAAAUGUCGGGGCUAAACCCCGGCGAGCCGUUGAAACUGGCGUUCUUGAGAGGGCGAGAGGUAUGCGGAAUGCGUGGUGUAGCGGUGAAAUGCUUAGAUAUCACGCAGAACACCGAUUGCGAAGGCAGCAUACCGGCGGCGAUCUGACGCUGAGGCACGAAAGCGUGGGUAUCGAACAGGAUUAGAUACCCGUGUAGUC